This 987-nucleotide ribosomal RNA is filed under the name Kocuria palustris. Its description in RNAcentral is "bacterial SSU rRNA". It matches the Rfam family "Bacterial small subunit ribosomal RNA", at positions 56 to 1050 of the family's 1533-position model. The record is from RNAcentral. Lineage: Bacteria; Bacillati; Actinomycetota; Actinomycetes; Micrococcales; Micrococcaceae.
UGCAGUCGAACGCUGAAGCACCAGCUUGCUGGUGUGGAUGAGUGGCGAACGGGUGAGUAAUACGUGAGUAACCUGCCCUUGACUCUGGGAUAAGCCCGGGAAACUGGGUCUAAUACUGGAUGCUACAUGUCACCGCAUGGUGGUGUGUGGAAAGGGUUUACUGGUCUUGGAUGGGCUCACGGCCUAUCAGCUUGUUGGUGAGGUAAUGGCUCACCAAGGCGACGACGGGUAGCCGGCCUGAGAGGGUGACCGGCCACACUGGGACUGAGACACGGCCCAGACUCCUACGGGAGGCAGCAGUGGGGAAUAUUGCACAAUGGGCGAAAGCCUGAUGCAGCGACGCCGCGUGAGGGAUGACGGCCUUCGGGUUGUAAACCUCUUUCAGCAGGGAAGAAGCCACAAGUGACGGUACCUGCAGAAGAAGCGCCGGCUAACUACGUGCCAGCAGCCGCGGUAAUACGUAGGGCGCAAGCGUUGUCCGGAAUUAUUGGGCGUAAAGAGCUCGUAGGCGGUUUGUCGCGUCUGCUGUGAAAGCCCGGGGCUUAACCCCGGGUGUGCAGUGGGUACGGGCAGACUAGAGUGCAGUAGGGGAGACUGGAAUUCCUGGUGUAGCGGUGGAAUGCGCAGAUAUCAGGAGGAACACCGAUGGCGAAGGCAGGUCUCUGGGCUGUUACUGACGCUGAGGAGCGAAAGCAUGGGGAGCGAACAGGAUUAGAUACCCUGGUAGUCCAUGCCGUAAACGUUGGGCACUAGGUGUGGGGGACAUUCCACGUUUUCCGCGCCGUAGCUAACGCAUUAAGUGCCCCGCCUGGGGAGUACGGCCGCAAGGCUAAAACUCAAAGGAAUUGACGGGGGCCCGCACAAGCGGCGGAGCAUGCGGAUUAAUUCGAUGCAACGCGAAGAACCUUACCAAGGCUUGACAUAUACCGGGAUCGUUCCAGAGAUGGUUCUUCCCCUUUGGGGUCGGUAUACAGGUGGUGCAUGGUU